GCCUGGGUGGCUUAGUUGGUUAAGUGUCUGACUUCAGCUCAGGUCAUGAUCUCACAGUUGGGGAGUUCAAGUCCCGCUUCAGGCU
Molecule: transfer RNA, 85 nt
Filed under: Felis catus (domestic cat)
Lineage: Eukaryota; Metazoa; Chordata; Mammalia; Carnivora; Felidae
Also listed under: 1 other name
Rfam family: tRNA
About the family: Transfer RNA (tRNA) molecules are approximately 80 nucleotides in length. Their secondary structure includes four short double-helical elements and three loops (D, anti-codon, and T loops). Further hydrogen bonds mediate the characteristic L-shaped molecular structure. tRNAs have two regions of fundamental functional importance: the anti-codon, which is responsible for specific mRNA codon recognition, and the 3' end, to which the tRNAs corresponding amino acid is attached (by aminoacyl-tRNA synthetases). tRNAs cope with the degeneracy of the genetic code in two manners: having more than one tRNA (with a specific anti-codon) for a particular amino acid; and 'wobble' base-pairing, i.e. permitting non-standard base-pairing at the 3rd anti-codon position.
Source: Rfam by way of RNAcentral